This 72-nucleotide transfer RNA is filed under the name Candidatus Daviesbacteria bacterium. RNAcentral describes it as "tRNA-Lys". It matches the Rfam family "tRNA". Rfam says of the family: Transfer RNA (tRNA) molecules are approximately 80 nucleotides in length. Their secondary structure includes four short double-helical elements and three loops (D, anti-codon, and T loops). Lineage: Bacteria; Candidatus Daviesiibacteriota. The record is from RNAcentral.
GGCCCCAUAGCUCAGUGGUAGAGCAGGAAGCUCUUAACUUCAAGGUCGUUGGUUCAAAUCCAACUGGGGUCA